AUGAACGCUGGCGGCGUGCCUAAUACAUGCAAGUAGAACGCUGAAGCUUGGUGCUUGCACCGAGCGGAUGAGUUGCGAACGGGUGAGUAACGCGUAGGUAACCUGCCUGGUAGCGGGGGAUAACUAUUGGAAACGAUAGCUAAUACCGCAUAACAGUAGAUAUUGCAUGAUAUCUGCUUGAAAGGUGCAAAUGCAUCACUACCAGAUGGACCUGCGUUGUAUUAGCUAGUUGGUGAGGUAACGGCUCACCAAGGCGACGAUACAUAGCCGACCUGAGAGGGUGAUCGGCCACACUGGGACUGAGACACGGCCCAGACUCCUACGGGAGGCAGCAGUAGGGAAUCUUCGGCAAUGGGGGGAACCCUGACCGAGCAACGCCGCGUGAGUGAAGAAGGUUUUCGGAUCGUAAAGCUCUGUUGUAAGAGAAGAACGAGUGUGAGAGUGGAAAGUUCACACUGUGACGGUAUCUUACCAGAAAGAGACGGCUAACUACGUG
Molecule: ribosomal RNA, 496 nt
Filed under: uncultured bacterium
Lineage: Bacteria
Description: partial 16S ribosomal RNA
Rfam family: Bacterial small subunit ribosomal RNA
Source: RNAcentral